UUCCUUUGUUGUUGAGUAAAAACGGCUUGUAGCUCAUGUCCUCUACUCUGUCAUCACAGGGGCUAGAGACUAGACUCAGACAUUCCAGGCAGCAGUGAUUUCAAGAGAGAAUGAUGUAAACGUGGACAAAAGCACAAAAAAAGCUCGAAGUGAAGCCAAAACCGCGGCUGUCGAGCACUCAUGAUGGGCUUCACAGCGGCGUCCCAGCCAGCCUUCGGGGCUCAUGACUUUUACGAGACAGUCGGAGGUCAGUAAUGAAUAUACAUGUGCGGUCUGCAAUGGGAGGAAUGAAGCGGCGAGAAGUAGAGUGGUGGGUGAAGAAGAAGAAGAUGAAUACUGAGUUAACGUGCCGAGCGGUGUCGGGCUCCGUUCCCACUCGCCCAGUCGCAUUGUCCUCUGCUGUUAGUCUCAGCCUGGCUUGUGAACAUAAAUAUUUACACAGUUGUCAUGAGCGGGAUUUAUAGGAGCAGUUCUGCUCGUCCCCCAUAAGAGAAAUACUACUUUUUCCCUUCGUACUAUGCAUCUCACCUCCGCCUGUUUUCUUGCCGCUGCAUGCCCGGUGGAAAUAUUGUCUCAUUGUGUUGACACUUCUCGUCCCCUCCCGGGCUCAAAUAAGCUGUGCAGGGAUUUUAUUAUUUGCAACUGGUCAGCUGGCGAAGUGGAGGGAGGCCAAUAAAAACUCUGC
Long non-coding RNA from Corythoichthys intestinalis (scribbled pipefish), 685 nucleotides. RefSeq lists it as uncharacterized. The transcript has 3 exons. The record is from RefSeq and is a predicted model, not a curated record. NCBI's taxonomy places the organism in Eukaryota, Metazoa, Chordata, Actinopteri, Syngnathiformes, Syngnathidae.